CGGGCGGACGGGUGAGUAACGCGUGGGUAACCUGCCUCAUACAGGGGGAUAACGGUUAGAAAUGACUGCUAAUACCGCAUAAGCGCACAGUACCGCAUGGUACGGUGUGAAAAACUCCGGUGGUAUGAGAUGGACCCGCGUCUGAUUAGCUAGUUGGUGGGGUAACGGCCCACCAAGGCGACGAUCAGUAGCCGACCUGAGAGGGUGACCGGCCACAUUGGGACUGAGACACGGCCCAG
Molecule: ribosomal RNA, 239 nt
Filed under: uncultured bacterium
Lineage: Bacteria
Description: partial 16S ribosomal RNA
Rfam family: Bacterial small subunit ribosomal RNA
Source: RNAcentral